Molecule: transfer RNA, 69 nt
Filed under: Schistometopum gregorii
Lineage: Eukaryota; Metazoa; Chordata; Amphibia; Gymnophiona; Dermophiidae
Description: tRNA-Arg
Source: RNAcentral
AAGAGGUUAAUCUAAAAUAAGACUAUUAAUUUCGACUUAAUAAAUUGUGAUAAAUAUCACAACCUCUUA